RNAcentral lists this ribosomal RNA (678 nucleotides) under uncultured bacterium. RNAcentral describes it as "bacterial SSU rRNA". It matches the Rfam family "Bacterial small subunit ribosomal RNA", at positions 827 to 1500 of the family's 1533-position model. The record is from RNAcentral.
GGAAGGAGACUUCCUUAGUACCGCAGCUAACGCGUGAAGUCGACCGCCUGGGGAGUACGGUCGCAAGAUUAAAACUCAAAGGAAUUGACGGGGACCCGCACCAAGCGGUGGAUGAUGUGGAUUAAUUCGAUGCAACGCGAAAAACCUUACCUACCCUUGACAUGUNCAGGAAGUCCGCUGAGAGGUGGAUGUGCCCGAAAGGGAACCUGAACACAGGUGCUGCAUGGCUGUCGUCAGCUCGUGUCGUGAGAUGUUGGGUUAAGUCCCGCAACGAGCGCAACCCUUGUCAUUAGUUGCUACAUUCAGUUGGGCACUCUAAUGAGACUGCCGGUGACAAACCGGAGGAAGGUGGGGAUGACGUCAAGUCCUCAUGGCCCUUAUGGGUAGGGCCUCACACGUCAUACAAUGGCGGAUACAGAGGGUUGCCAACCCGCGAGGGGGAGCCAAUCCCAGAAAGUCCGUCGUAGUCCGGAUCGGAGUCUGCAACUCGACUCCGUGAAGUCGGAAUCGCUAGUAAUCGCGGAUCAGCAUGUCGCGGUGAAUACGUUCCCGGGUCUUGUACACACCGCCCGUCACACCAUGGGAGCGGGUUUCACCAGAAGUAGCUAGCCUAACCGCAAGGGGGGCGGUUACCACGGUGAGAUUCGUGANCUGGGGUGAAGUCGUAANCAAGGUACC